This 547-nucleotide ribosomal RNA is filed under the name Enterobacter ludwigii. RNAcentral describes it as "bacterial SSU rRNA". It matches the Rfam family "Bacterial small subunit ribosomal RNA", at positions 57 to 596 of the family's 1533-position model. The record is from RNAcentral. Lineage: Bacteria; Pseudomonadati; Pseudomonadota; Gammaproteobacteria; Enterobacterales; Enterobacteriaceae.
GCAGUCGAGCGGUAACACAGGGAGCUUGCUCCUGGGUGACGAGCGGCGGACGGGUGAGUAAUGUCUGGGAAACUGCCUGAUGGAGGGGGAUAACUACUGGAAACGGUAGCUAAUACCGCAUAACGUCGCAAGACCAAAGAGGGGGACCUUCGGGCCUCUUGCCAUCAGAUGUGCCCAGAUGGGAUUAGCUAGUAGGUGGGGUAACGGCUCACCUAGGCGACGAUCCCUAGCUGGUCUGAGAGGAUGACCAGCCACACUGGAACUGAGACACGGUCCAGACUCCUACGGGAGGCAGCAGUGGGGAAUAUUGCACAAUGGGCGCAAGCCUGAUGCAGCCAUGCCGCGUGUAUGAAGAAGGCCUUCGGGUUGUAAAGUACUUUCAGCGGGGAGGAAGGUGUUGAGGUUAAUAACCUCAGCAAUUGACGUUACCCGCAGAAGAAGCACCGGCUAACUCCGUGCCAGCAGCCGCGGUAAUACGGAGGGUGCAAGCGUUAAUCGGAAUUACUGGGCGUAAAGCGCACGCAGGCGGUCUGUCAAGUCGGAUGUG